CCUACGGGAGGCAGCAGUCGGGAAUUUUGGGCAAUGGGCGAAAGCCUGACCCAGCAACGCCGCGUGAAGGAUGAAGUCCUUCGGGAUGUAAACUUCGUAAGAAUGGGAAGAAUCAAUGACGGUACCAUUUGUAAGGUCCGGCUAACUACGUGCCAGCAGCCGCGGUAAUACGUAGGGACCAAGCGUUGUUCGGAUUUACUGGGCGUAAAGGGUGCGUAGGCGGCGUGUCAAGUCAGUUGUGAAAUCUUAAGGCUUAACCUUAAGCGGUCAACUGAUACUGUCAUGCUAGAGUGCAGAAGGGGCAAUCGGAAUUCUUGGUGUAGCGGUGAAAUGCGUAGAUAUCAAGAGGAACACCUGAGGUGAAGACGGGUUGCUGGGCUGACACUGACGCUGAGGCACGAAAGCUAGGGUAGCAAACGGGAUUAGAUACCCUGGUAGU
RNAcentral lists this ribosomal RNA (439 nucleotides) under uncultured Aridibacter sp. RNAcentral's name for it is "bacterial SSU rRNA". It matches the Rfam family "Bacterial small subunit ribosomal RNA", at positions 338 to 794 of the family's 1533-position model. Lineage: Bacteria; Pseudomonadati; Acidobacteriota; Blastocatellia; Blastocatellales; Blastocatellaceae. The record is from RNAcentral.